GAUGAACGCUGGCGGCGUGCCUAAUACAUGCAAGUCGAGCGAACAGACGAGGAGCUUGCUCCUCUGACGUUAGCGGCGGACGGGUGAGUAACACGUGGAUAACCUACCUAUAAGACUGGGAUAACUUCGGGAAGCCGGAGCUAAUACCGGAUAAUAUAUUGAACCGCAUGGUUCAAUAGUGAAAGACGGUUUUGCUGUCACUUAUAGAUGGAUCCGCGCCGCAUUAGCUAGUUGGUAAGGUAACGGCUUACCAAGGCGACGAUGCGUAGCCGACCUGAGAGGGUGAUCGUCCACACUGGAACUGAGACACGGUCCAGACUCCUACGGGAGGCAGCAGUAGGGAAUCUUCCGCAAUGGGCGAAAGCCUGACGGAGCAACGCCGCGUGAGUGAUGAAGGUCUUCGGAUCGUAAAACUCUGUUAUUAGGGAAGAACAAAUGUGUAAGUAACUAUGCACGUCUUGACGGUACCUAAUCAGAAAGCCACGGCUAACUACGUG
RNAcentral lists this ribosomal RNA (497 nucleotides) under uncultured bacterium. Its description in RNAcentral is "partial 16S ribosomal RNA". It matches the Rfam family "Bacterial small subunit ribosomal RNA", at positions 28 to 507 of the family's 1533-position model. The record is from RNAcentral.